This 1377-nucleotide long non-coding RNA is filed under the name Homo sapiens (human). Its description in RNAcentral is "HSALNT0053594". The record is from RNAcentral. Lineage: Eukaryota; Metazoa; Chordata; Mammalia; Primates; Hominidae.
AAAAGGAUUUGUGAGGCUAGUCUUAAGCUGCAGCGAAUCUGGUGUGCUUUACGUGUUUUUCUGUAUUGUUCCAUCAUAAAGAGGGGUACCUUAUGAUGGAACACAGGCUUAGGACACCCAUAAGCCUGCUUUUCAAGACGGCCCAGCAAACUGGAGUCAAGGAAACUUUUCAGCUAUUUACAGCUUUUAACAAUUGAGUAAAGCAUACUCCUGUGAACAAAAUUUGGAACAUAUUUGUUUCUCUCUACCUGAUUUCUCCACAAUUUGGAAACUAUGUAUAUCACCUUUUGUUGGACUCAAGAGUUAUGAAUGGCCCUCACCAUACUGAUGCUUUCUGACUGAGCUCCUCACUACCCUGAACACAAGAGGGAGGAAUAUCAUCGCCCCUAUUCAGCCUGGAGAAGUUACAAAAGAUGGAUCUUCGUCCCUCUGCAACCCUUAGGAUUAAUGGUUCUCCUAUAAAAGGGAUGGGGGGAAAAUGUCAGAGGCAUUUGAACAAGAGCAACUCCAUCUUAAAGAGGAGCUGGGUAAAAUAAGGCUGAAACCUACUGGGCUGCAUUCCCAGAUGGUUAAGGCAUUCUAAGUCACAGGAUGAGAUGGGAGGUUGGCACAAAAUACAGGUCAUAAAGACCCUGCUGAUAAAACAGGUUGCAGUAAAGAAGCUGGCCAAAACCCACCAAAACCAAGAUGGCAAUGAGACUGACCUCUGGUCGUCCUCACUGCUACACUCCCAUCAGUGCCAUGACAGUUUACAGAUGCCAUGGCAACAUCAGGAAGUUACCCUAUAUGGCCUAGAAAGGGGAGGCAUGAAUAAUCCACCUCUUGUUUAGCAUAUCAUCAAGAAAUAACCAUAAAAAUGGACAACCAGCAGCCCUGGGGACUGCUGUGCCUGUGGAGUAGCCAUUCUUUUAUUCCUUUACUUUUUUUUUUUUUUUUUUUUUUUGGAGACGAGUCUCGCUCAGUCACCCAGGCUGGAGUGCAGUGGCACUAUCUCGGCUCAUUGCAAGCUCCGCCUCCCAGGUUCACGCCAUUCUCCUGCCUCAGCCUCCCGUGUAGCUGGGACUACAGGUGCCCACCACUACGCCCAGCUAAUUUUCUUGUAUUUUUAGUAGAGACGGGGUUUCACCCUGUUAGCCAGGAUGGUCUCGAUCUCCUGACCUCGUGACCUGCCCAUCUCGGCCUCCCAAAGUGCUGGGAUUACAGGCGUGAGCCACCGCACCUGGCCUAUUCCUUUACUUUCUUAAUAAACUUGCGUUUACUUUGCACUGUGGACUCCGCCUGAAUUCUUUCUUGCAGGAGAUCCAAGAACCCUCUCUUGGGGUCUGGAUCAAAACUCCCUUUCCUGUAACAGUUUGCAGGAGAAUGUCUUCAAGGCCA